UCAAAUAAUAUAAAAAAUAAUAUAUAUAUUGACAUGGAUUAAACAAAGAUAUAUAUUAUUUUAUGUUGUAUAAACAAAUUGGCAAAAUAGAGAUGGAAGAUAAAAAUAUGGUCAAAGUAAUAAGAGUCUAUGGUGAAUGCCUAGGAGCUUUAAGGCGAAGAAGGUCGUGGUAAGCUGCGAAAAGCUUGGGGGAGAAGCAAACAUUUAUUGAUCCCAAGAUUACCGAAUGGAGUAAUCCAGCUAGCAAGAUGCUAGCUAUCUAUUAUCUAAAUAAUARAGGCGAUACC
RNAcentral lists this unclassified non-coding RNA (287 nucleotides) under uncultured Borreliella sp. RNAcentral describes it as "partial 5S-23S intergenic spacer". The stretch from base 110 to 287 matches the Rfam family "Bacterial large subunit ribosomal RNA", at positions 1 to 185 of the family's 2925-position model. Lineage: Bacteria; Pseudomonadati; Spirochaetota; Spirochaetia; Spirochaetales; Borreliaceae. The record is from RNAcentral.